RNAcentral lists this ribosomal RNA (351 nucleotides) under Triticum aestivum (bread wheat). RNAcentral describes it as "partial small subunit ribosomal RNA". The record is from RNAcentral. Lineage: Eukaryota; Viridiplantae; Streptophyta; Magnoliopsida; Poales; Poaceae.
AUGACGAGAGUGAAGAAUAGUUACUAUGUACUUCCAGGAGAACCUGAACCGAAGCGCACCGUGUCAAACACUCACAGCAUUGGGAAGGUGAUGUUCCUAACAGCUGUUGCCAAGCCUCGAUAUAACAAUGAGGGGGAGCUAACAUUCGAUGGGAAGAUCGGCAUUUGGGCAUUCGUCGAAGAGACUGAGGCGAAGCGAACAAGUCAGAACAGAACAAAGGGAACAAAAGUGUUGACAUCAGUGAAAGUAACCAGGCCUGUGUGCAGAGAUUAUCUAAUCAAUAAGGUUAUCCCGGCAAUUCAAGAUAAGUGGCCUGACGAUGAUGAGGGAGCAACAAUAUUCAUCCAAUAG